CUAGACGGGCUUCCCCGUGCCCAAGAGUCGCGAUACGCGAGAGAAGCAAAACCGGAGGUCAUGUCCGGGAUUUCGACCACCCUCCCUCCUCUCUUUCGUUCUCUCGCUCCCAAAAUCUCCACCUCGUUCCCUCCCCCACCUUCUCCUCCUAUUCCAUCUCUUCCUUUAUCGCUACACAAAACCCACUCUCGUAGAAUCGUGGCGAUGGCCAUGUCGGGGACUAGAAUCCCGACCGCGUCGCUCGAAUCCAUGGUCGUGAAGCCGCCAUCACACCCUACGUACGAUCUCAAAUCCGUCAUCGCCCUCGCUCUCUCCGAAGACGCCGGUGAUCGAGGGGAUGUAACUUGUUUAGCCACUGUUCCGGUGGACAUGAAAGCAGAAGCCCACUUCAUUGCAAAGGAGGAUGGGGUCAUUGCUGGAAUUUCUCUUGCAGAGAUGAUUUUUAAUGAGGUUGAUCCAUCAUUAAAGGUUGAAUGGUCUCAGAAAGAUGGAAACUAUGUUCACAAAGGCAUGCAGUUUGGCAAAGUAUAUGGAUGUGCAUGCAGCAUUAUUGUGGCAGAAAGGGUUGCCCUCAAUUUUAUGCAAAGAAUGAGUGGAAUAGCAACACUUACCAAGGCUAUGGCAGAUGCUGCACAUCCUGCAUGCAUCUUGGAGACAAGGAAAACUGCUCCAGGCCUACGUUUGGUGGAUAAGUGGGCGGUACUGAUUGGUGGAGGAAAAAACCACAGGAUGGGUCUAUUUGAUAUGGUAAUGAUAAAAGAUAACCAUAUAUCAAUAGCUGGAGGUGUGACAAAUGCUAUGAAAUCAGUAGAUCAAUUCUUGGAGCAAAAGAAUCUUCAAAUGCCUGUCGAGGUUGAGACAAGGACAUUAGAAGAAGUAAAGGAGGUACUGCAAUAUGCAGCUCAAAAUAGGACUUCUCUGACCCGAAUAAUGUUGGACAAUAUGGUCGUCCCUCUUCCAAAUGGGGAUGUGGAUGUUACGAUGCUUAAGGAUGCCGUUACGCUGAUAAAUGGUAGAUUUGAAACUGAGGCAUCUGGAAAUGUCACCCUUGAAACAGUGAAUAAAAUUGGACAAACUGGAGUAGCAUAUAUUUCCAGUGGAGCAUUGACACACUCUGUGAAAGCGCUUGAUAUCUCCCUCAAAAUAGACACAGAGCUUGCCCUCCAAGUUGGAAGACGUACAAACCGAGCUUAAUCAGUUCGAAAGUUCCUUGUUAAACCCUCCUACUGGGUGUGUAUCUUUUCUGCCAUCAGAUUGUACUCAGCUGCUGCUUUUCAAUCAAACCACUACAAUAUCUAUAGACUGCUGUCAGGCGUAUAUCAUAAAUUUGAGAUCCCACGGCAAUCUAAGGUUUCUGCAGUGCAUUGAAGCAGCAAGCUAAAUUAAAAGAAAAGAAGUUCUUCGCUGACUGGAAGAAAUGAAUAACUUUGCUCGAAGAUCAUUUGGCACAUUAUAAUUGUAUGACUCACAAAAUUUCAUAUUUCCAAAAUUUAAUAUAAUUGGGGUAUGUGUUCUACCCUUGUCAAACUUGUGUGCACUUUUGAGAAGGCUUCCUGUAUAAUGAGUUACACUAUAAUGAGUUCCUGUUAUUUGCUAAGAAACUACUUAAUGAUGCA
RNA transcript from Phoenix dactylifera (date palm), 1616 nucleotides. It is a transcript of the gene named quinolinate phoshoribosyltransferase, with no coding region annotated. The record is from RefSeq and is a predicted model, not a curated record. Lineage: Eukaryota; Viridiplantae; Streptophyta; Magnoliopsida; Arecales; Arecaceae.